RNAcentral lists this unclassified non-coding RNA (240 nucleotides) under soil metagenome. RNAcentral describes it as "partial contains 5.8S ribosomal RNA, internal transcribed spacer 2, and large subunit ribosomal RNA". The record is from RNAcentral.
AACAUCGCGCACCUGCGGGAACCUGCGGAAGGAUCAUUAAUGAUCGGUGGCUGUUGCUGACUAGUGUUUCUAGUAUGUGCACGCCACACCUUCAAUCCCACUUACACCUGUGCACCUUCUGUAAUAGAUCUAUGUGGAUACGGAGAUAUGAAAGUUUGCGCUCUCGUACUCUGUUGAAGCAGUCUACUACGUUUUUUUACACACACACAAUAGUCAUUGAAUGUAUUUUUUAUUCUUAUG